This is a long non-coding RNA of Piliocolobus tephrosceles (Ugandan red Colobus), 1739 nucleotides long. RefSeq lists it as uncharacterized. The transcript has 2 exons. The record is from RefSeq and is a predicted model, not a curated record. NCBI's taxonomy places the organism in Eukaryota, Metazoa, Chordata, Mammalia, Primates, Cercopithecidae.
AAAUAAUUUCAGCAUAUACCUAUAAAAGAUUUUUUUUCAAACAACAUUAUCAAACCUACAAAAAACAUUUGCUCACUUUCCCUAUCUCCCCACUGGAUUAAUACAUAAAGCAAACCCCAAACACCACCCAUCACCUAGACUUAACCGGUGGUAACUGCAAUAGCAUAAUCCACUUGACAAAAUUAAUAAUAAUUUCUUUGUGUCAUGUAAUAGUCCAUAUUUUAUCUUCCCUGGUUGUAGCUGGUUUGUGUAUGGAAUUGUUUGACAGAUGAAGGUCAAGCCUCUCAGAGAAGGGGCAGCGUUUUCUAAUUCUUCCAGUGGGGUCAUAUGGGGCUGAUCCUGAAUGACCUCAUGGGUCAUCCCCCACUUCUAUGUCUCCCCCAUCUGUAGCUACUUCCAUAUUUGCACUAAAGGAGAUUCAGCUACAAAAGGAGGCCAGCCUUCGGUCUUCGUCGAUGCCUGACUCAGGCAGGCCAGCUUUCCGCGUGGUGGACACCGAAUUCUAAGCCACAGACCAAGGCCCCAGCAGGCAGCGGCUGGAGGGAUGCCACACCCCUCACAGGGCAGCCCCCAACUACAUCUUCCCUGCUUACUCUGCCUACCUGCCUGAGCCAUGUUCACCUGCCCACUUGUCCCUUGCUGCCUGUCCAAACACCCGACCAUUGGCCUGUCAACCCACCCAUUGGCCUGUCUGCUGGGUGCUAACAAAGCUCUCAUCACUCCUUCACUUGGUCUGUCUGUCUGUCUGUCUGUCUCUAUCUUGGUAGUUGCCGGAGGACAGCAUGGCCGUGCCAGCCUCCCACACUGAGGCCAGGCCUACCCCUCAUCAUACCAUCCCCCAGGACCACUACCCCACGGCCAGCCAGGGGUCCAGAGCUAGCUCAGGCUGGGAAUCUCGACUCAGACAAGAUGGUGACAAUGCCUUGAGUCUGAGGCAUCCCCUGCCUGCUUUCCUGCCUGCCCCACCUGCCUCAUAUUGUGUGGGCCUUUUUUUGUUUGUUUCAUUCAUUGUUUUUUUUAAUUAUUUUAAAUGAGGUUUUCAUUUUUUUAAAUGCAAUAUCUCUGUAUACAGAUUGGCUGGGCCCCACCCCCUGCGUGUGGCCCUCCCACAGUAUUUUGUGCAAUGAAGCCCUGCUCCCAGCCUUUCAGAGACAGGGGGACAGCCCCUAUUUGGAACCCUGAUCAUCACCAGACCCUGGGAUCGGCUAUGGGAAAGCAUGCCACGGCCACUCGCCUUCCUACCCCCGCCUGCCAUCCCUAGCUGCAGGAGGAUCUGGGGACUACCAGAGACUCUGGGAAAUGGACAAGGUGGGGGGCCCCACUCUUUCUCUCCUGCAGUCCCAUAGCUGGGGCCUCCUUCCUUCUCAGGGUCUCCCCAGCUCAGCCCUCUUGCUCCCAUCCCACUCGGUGCUGUUGGGUAGGGGCCCUGCCAGGAACUGACCAGCUCAGCAAGGAGCCAUAGUGUGCGUAUGUGCACAAGCAGGGUUGGGGGAGGGGGUUGUGAGGGGUUGUGCCCAGGUGUUGCCCCCUAUCUCCUGGGGUGGGUGAGGCAGGGCAGGGACAGUCUCCAGGGUCAGUCCCUGGAUGGGUGGUUACCUCCCCUUCCUCCACCCUAAGCCCUGGGGCCCUGAAAUGGGGUGGGAGGGCAGGGGUGGGAGCCCUCCUAGUGGGUUUGGGGGGUUGGGUUCCUGAAUGCACCAUAAUCGCUGUAUGAAAUAUUAAAAAGUCUAAAGUGAAAA